UUGUCGUACACAGGUCCGACGAUGGUUCUGACGAUGCCUUCGACGGUCUGGACGCCGGGUUUCAGGGGACCGGAGUGGUUCUUGGCGUACUUGUGGAGGGAGGAGAGGCAAACGACCAUGUACACCGCGGCUACUUGGACGAAAUCAAGUGGAGCUUAGAGGAGAGCGUAAGGGAGAGGAGAUGAAUGGGUAUUUGAGCAAGGACUAGGCAGGCAGGGCAGGCCGUUAGCAACUAUUAGGAGGGUUUUCCGGUAAGAUGUGGAGACAAAAUGGUAAGCAGCUUAUGCGGUGGCCAUUGAAUGGGUUUAAUUAGUCAGUCCUCCUAUCGUUCAGGAAUCUUUUUCCUCUUUCUUAUGUUUUUUCUUAUUUUUCAAAUCAAGACAUCCUUUUCUUUUCUUGUAGCAGUAUGUUUUUUAAAUUACCAUCGAGCAGCUUUACUUGUAAUUUUUUAGUAUUAUUACUAAUCUUGGGCCUCACACAUCCCAAGUUAGGAAUAUGCAAAAGUAUCUUCUUCUUUUUUUAUUACAUGGCCCAAGUUAAAGCUCGUAUCUUUAGGCUUCUUGGUUUUAUAUUUUCUUAUUCUUGGGCUUAGGGGAGGGCUGUGCCCAUCUCUAACCCAUUCACUAAGAAUUAUUAUGAACUCCAUUUUAGUUGUUUAAGCUUAAUGGGUUUGUUGGAGGGGAGAGUGAUUAUUGCCAAACAUGUGUAUCUCUCUAUCUUAUAUUCAAUCCAAACAUGUGAUUUUGAUUUGUUUGUAGAAGUAAGAUUAAAUUGCUUAUAGAA
This is a long non-coding RNA of Andrographis paniculata, 783 nucleotides long. RefSeq lists it as uncharacterized. The record is from RefSeq and is a predicted model, not a curated record. NCBI's taxonomy places the organism in Eukaryota, Viridiplantae, Streptophyta, Magnoliopsida, Lamiales, Acanthaceae. The transcript has 2 exons.